Globicephala melas (long-finned pilot whale) is the source of this 5370-nucleotide RNA transcript. It is a transcript of the gene named collagen type XIII alpha 1 chain, with no coding region annotated. The record is from RefSeq and is a predicted model, not a curated record. Lineage: Eukaryota; Metazoa; Chordata; Mammalia; Artiodactyla; Delphinidae.
UGGCGCUCAGCCUGCUCGCCCACUUUCGGACAGCCGAGCUGCAGGCCCGGGUGCAGCGCCUGGAAGCAGACCGUGGGGAGCAGCAAAUGGAGCCGGCUAUUUUGGGACGAGUCAACCAACUGCUGGAUGAGAAAUGGAAGCUCCACUCACGGAGGCGCCGGGAGACCCCGAAGACGUCUCCAGGGUGUCACUGCCCGCCAGGGUCCUGCUGGAAGACCCGGCCUCCCGGGGGACAAAGGUGCCAUUGGGAUGCCUGGACGUGUGGGAGGAAAGGGCCAACCAGGCGAGAAGGGAGCCCCAGGAGAUGCCGGGAUGUCCAUCAUCGGUCCCCGCGGCCCCCCGGGUCAGCCGGGCACUCGAGGUUUUCCUGGAUUUCCGGGUCCCAUUGGGCUUGACGGCAAACCGGGCCGCCCCGGACCAAAAGGGGAGACGGGACCUCCAGGACAAAAAGGAGAAAAGGGUCAGUGUGGAGAGCACCCACACCGGCUGCUGCCUCUCCUCAAUUCAGUGCGGCUGGCUGCACCCCCAGUCAUUAAAAGGCGGACCUUCCAGGGUGAACAGGGCCAGGCCGGCAUCCAAGGCCCACCAGGGCCACCAGGCCCUCCUGGACCAAGUGGACCUCUGGGGCCCCCAGGACUGCCAGGGCCCAUGGGGCCACCCGGCUUACCUGGGCCUCCUGGACCGAAGGGAGACCCGGGGAUCCAGGGCUACCACGGCCGGAAGGGAGAACGGGGCAUGCCAGGGAUGCCGGGCAAACACGGAACAAAGGGGGCUCCUGGAAUCGCUGUGGCCGGGAUGAAGGGUGAGCCUGGGAUCCCAGGAGCCAAGGGUGAGAAGGGGGCUGCGGGCGCCCCUGGGCUACUUGGCCUCCUAGGGCAGAAGGGAGAAAAAGGUGAUGCCGGCAACUCCAUUGGAGGGGGCAGAGGGGAGCCUGGGCCCCCAGGGCUCCCUGGGCCCCCAGGGCCAAAGGGGGAAGCUGGAGCUGAUGGCCGGGCGGGCGCCCCAGGACGGCAAGGAGACAAGGGGGAGCCUGGAGCAGCUGGAGAACAGGGACCUGCUGGCCCCAAGGGCUCCAAGGGCGAACCUGGGAAAGGAGAGAUGGUGGACUACAAUGGAAACAUCAACGAGGCUCUCCAGGAGAUCCGGACACUGGCCUUGAUGGGGCCCCCUGGUCUUCCUGGGCAGAUUGGCCCACCUGGAGCUCCAGGGAUCCCAGGCCAGAAGGGGGAGAUUGGACUGCCCGGCCCUCCUGGACACGAUGGGGAAAAGGGACCUCGAGGCAAACCAGGAGAUGUGGGCCCUCCUGGUCCCCAAGGCCCCCCAGGAAAGGCUGGGCCUGCAGGACUGAAGGGAGAAGAUGGCCUUCCGGGGAACCCAGGAAAGAAGGGGGAGAAAGGGGAGAUGGGGCAGCCAGGCCCACCGGGUCUAGACGGCCCAACUGGGGAGAAAGGAGAACCAGGUGACCAAGGGAGACAUGGAGCGACCGGAUUGCCUGGCCCAAUCGGGCUCCCAGGAUUCACGGGAGAGAAAGGAGAACCCGGGGAGAAGGGUGACCCAGGAGUGGAGGUUCCUGGGCCACCAGGGCCAGAGGGACCUCCCGGACCUCCGGGGCUCCAAGGCAUUCCUGGACCAAAGGGGGAAGCAGGGCUAGAUGGAGCAAAAGGAGAGAAGGGCAUCCAGGGAGAAAAAGGAGACCGAGGUCCUCUGGGAUUACCCGGAGCUUCAGGUUUGGACGGCAGGCCUGGGCCACCGGGUACUCCAGGACCAAUUGGAGUUCCAGGCCCAGCGGGACCAAAGGGAGAGAGGGGCAGCAAAGGCGACCCUGGGAUGACAGGACCAACGGGAGCAGCUGGGCUUCCUGGUUUACACGGACCACCCGGGGACAAAGGAAACCGGGGACACCGAGGUUUUAAAGGAGAGAAAGGGGAGCCGGGGUUACCAGGGCUGGACGGACUGGAUGCCCCGUGCCCACUGGUAUGGCAUCACCCUCCCUUUCCUGCAUGGCCAGUGUGGGCUUCCCCACGUGUGCGGCUUGUGCCUGUGCGCCUCUCCCGCUGCCCUGCACACUCCUGCUUGUCACUCUUCACUCAGUAGACACCAAGGGUCACCCUGCCUUAGCUGGUCCUCAGGGGGCUCCCGCCACGUUCCCCUCUUGCAUGCAGAGUCUGCCAGGAUGCUUUCUUGGCUUCCUCCUGCAGCUGCUUCAAAAGCCCAUCACCUUAAUGUGAGCGGCCCUCCCCACCCGAUGCCAACCUUAGCUGCAUCAGACCCUCCUUUCAGAACUGCUUCUAGACAAACCUGCCACCAGAAAGCAAGCCAGGGAAGUGGAUUCUCAGGACAAGUUCUUAGGAUUGUGACUUCUCUUCCUUCACACACUGCAGUUAGUUGGAAAAGCGUUGGCAAAACAUUUCAAUGAGAUGCCUCAGUUGGCCCCAUGUCCCGCUCCACUCCAGCAUUGCACGAUUUAGCAGAGGAAAGAUGGGCACCUUAUGAACACGGGGAAGAAUGAGGAGUUCUAGAACCAAAGUAGAGGAGGGGGUAUGCUGACUGUUCUUCUGGCAUAGAUCUGGGAUCACUGCCCUGGCGACACCCCCAGAACCAGGGGACGGUCCAAAAUCAGGAUUCUGGAUCCUGUAGGGUUCAUCCUUUAUGCUUAAAUCUCAGAAGACACUACAAGACCCUCCCUUGGUUUCCCUUUUUUUUUCAUCUUUAGGUGGUUCACAACCAAAAAGUCUGAAAGAACCUGGAAAGGUUAAGAAUGUAGUUAAGGAAGGGAAGGGAGAGACAGGGAGGGAGGGGCGACAUUUAGGACCCGCUCCCAAGCAUGUCCCACCUAAGUGGUGGCAUUUCUGGUCCUGCGGGGCCCAGUCCCUCUCCAAGCAGGGACACCUGAGGCUUCUACAGCAAUCCUUUGAACAUACUGCAGGGGAAGCAGGAGACGGCACUCCACUCCAAGGCAAUUGGCUCAAAAACUUCCUGUUCUCCUAAAUUUCUGGAGGAGGUUUGGAGCUCGUGGAUCUAGUUUCAGACCAGUAAUUGUCAGAUGAGCAUUCCCAGCCUCACAUCCCCACCCCAGGGUGACACAGGAAUUAUCUCUGUGUGACCCUGACAGGUGACCAUAGAGCCCCUGGAAGGGACUAUUUAGGACCACACAGGCAACACGAAGGACGGCAGAGCAAGCAGCGUCGCAAGCCUCCCGUUCCCACCGCGCUCCCCACCUUCCCACCCCCACCUUGAACCCCCAGCAUGCAGCGCGCACCGCACAGGCGCCUUUCUCAGCCAUGGAAUCUCCCGCGCCCUCCGCGGCACCUCCGUUAACCAAGCAGCCAGGCGUCCCCUCUGCCAUGACCCUUCCCACGAUCUGAACACUUGAGUUCUGACAACUGCAGCCCUGGCCUCCCUGCUUCUCACCCACACACUGUCACUCCCCUCUGCCUGCCCAGCCCUCCUCUGUCCCCCCUGCCACCAUCCACGUGCCAGUGGGAAUGCCCCUGUGGUCCACGGAGGCUCCUCUCCCUUCCAGAGACCGUGUGAAGUGUCGCAUUGUGGCGGGCUGGGGAAAGGGACAGAGGUCCUCAUGGAACCCUGGGAUGCACCACCUCAUCCUGCAGACCCUCCCCGACCCAGAGGGGACAAUGAAAGUUAUCUGGAUUUGACCUUACUGGCAUUUUCUCCAAUAACAUUUGUGUGUGACUUUUGCUGUGGAAGUGUACAUGCCUUGCCUUUCUUGUUUCUCAUUGUUGCUGUUCGCCGUCUCCUGCGCUGUGUUACUGUGGAAGUGGGGCGGGGCUGGGGGGCUGUUGAUCGGGAAUUUUAGUACAAGGUAACUAGACUUCUGCGGCCCCCGUGCAGGGCCGGCUGUCUGCUGGAUGCCAGGUGAGUGGUUUUGGCACCUGUCAUGGGUGGAUGAGUAGGUCCAGGGCACAGGGUGCUCCCAUUCCGGCUUCGCGGGGGCUGACCACUUGCUGCAGUCCCCUGAAACCUCGUGUGCGUCUCUUUCUCUGCCCUGGAGCCUGGAGUUCUAGAAUCUGGGCUGCAAUUCUAAUAGACCCGGACUAAGAACCAGAUCUUUGCCCUGGUUCAACCUCACCCUCCCCACCUGCCUCUAAGUGGUUUCUAGGUUCCCGCAGGGAGUGCCAGAGCAGCCAGGAUAGCAGGGCCCGAGGAGACUCGGGACGUCCUGAGGCUGUAGGUGCUCCGGAGGUGCACCGGCAAAGGGAACAAGCGGCACCCGGUGGCUUCCCAUUCCACCACUGCCUCUUCCCCCCAAGUCCCCAGCAAUGGCUGUGCCAGGAGCCCUGCCUCCCUGCUGAAGGCACCUCAGGCCCACAUUGCAAUGCCUGUGAAAUCACCCCUCCUCCUCCUUACUGGCCACCAGGUGGGAAUUGCCUAGAUGUCCUCCCCCAGCUGCUAAGGAAGAGAGAAAAAAUCAGAGAAUGGAGGAAGUGGGGGCGGUCGUUUCAUAGAGCCGCACCUGCCCCAGGUUUUACGGAGGAGGAAACUGAGGCCCCCAAGCGCUGAGUGACGCCCACGGGCACCCCGCGCUCAGUACAGCCCGAGGGGAGACCAGCAGGCCUCUAGUCUGUCCUCUCCACAGCAUUCAGGUGACCCCUGCUUGCUGAGCCCACAGGAUAGUGUCUUGGCCUUGCACUGUAACUACAUGUGAGCUUGGCCAGUGGGCAGACGGGCAGGCUUGCUUCCUGCCUCCUUUCGGCUCAGCCCUGGGGUAGAGAAAAGAGACAGACUAUAUCGGGGGGCCGCACCCUGAUCGGCCGCCGCGAUGUUUGUGGCCCUUGUUCCCCCUGUCCUGCUGCUUGGUGGGCCAUCCCGCAGAGUCUGAGCCGUCUGCCUUCCUUCCUCACUGCAGGGUGAAGAUGGCUUGCCAGUCCAGGGCUGCUGGAAUAAGUGAUGCCUCUAACCUGGGAUUGGCCUGUGUGUGUGUUUGUAAAUAGAAUAUUUAUUUUUAUACAGUUUCCACUUUUUGAAAAUGCCCAACGUAUGAUGCAUCUUACAGAUUAUUAAAAAAAAAGGAAAGCCUGCAUAUUUUGUACAGAAAAUACCAACCUCUUCCCUUUUGUUUACAAGAUGUUUUGUAUACGUCUAAGACUCUAAUACACUUUUCGUUAGUGAGUACGGCUGUACGUUUGCAUGAUAUUUGUGCACACUUAUUAAGUAUUGAAGCUUAAUAAAUUAUUGUGUUCCAGUGCCAAAGGGGGCCAACCAGCACUCAGGUGCUGGCUAGUUUAUGUGUGACUUCAGAGAUACAUGGAGUUCCAUGGUGUUUGCUAAGCUAGGUGUGUCUCAGAAUAUUUUAAACUCUUACGGAUUUUCAUUAUUAAAAAAAUUAAACAUGGCAAUUCUUGAUCCUGA